Molecule: small nucleolar RNA, 106 nt
Organism: Hibiscus syriacus
Lineage: Eukaryota; Viridiplantae; Streptophyta; Magnoliopsida; Malvales; Malvaceae
Source: RefSeq, a predicted model, not a curated record
UCAAGUUAUGUGUAGCUGCUGUAAACAUGGGCACAUACCAGUAUGCAGGCUUUAGGUGGGCGAGUCACUAGUACAUGCAUGCCCAUAAAGAAACUGCAUUACAUGA